RNAcentral lists this ribosomal RNA (586 nucleotides) under uncultured fungus. RNAcentral's name for it is "eukaryotic LSU rRNA". The stretch from base 207 to 359 matches the Rfam family "5.8S ribosomal RNA". Lineage: Eukaryota; Fungi. The record is from RNAcentral.
UCCGUAGGUGAACCUGCGGAAGGAUCAUUACCGAGUGAGGACCCUCUGGGUCCAACCUCCCACCCGUGUUUAUUUUACCUUGUUGCUUCGGCGGGCCCGCCUUAACUGGCCGCCGGGGGGCUUACGCCCCCGGGCCCGCGCCCGCCGAAGACACCCUCGAACUCUGUCUGAAGAUUGUAGUCUGAGUGAAAAUAUAAAUUAUUUAAAACUUUCAACAACGGAUCUCUUGGUUCCGGCAUCGAUGAAGAACGCAGCGAAAUGCGAUACGUAAUGUGAAUUGCAAAUUCAGUGAAUCAUCGAGUCUUUGAACGCACAUUGCGCCCCCUGGUAUUCCGGGGGGCAUGCCUGUCCGAGCGUCAUUGCUGCCCUCAAGCACGGCUUGUGUGUUGGGCCCCGUCCUCCGAUCCCGGGGGACGGGCCCGAAAGGCAGCGGCGGCACCGCGUCCGGUCCUCGAGCGUAUGGGGCUUUGUCACCCGCUCUGUAGGCCCGGCCGGCGCUUGCCGAUCAACCCAAAUUUUUAUCCAGGUUGACCUCGGAUCAGGUAGGGAUACCCGCUGAACUUAAGCAUAUCAAUAAGCGGAGGAA